Molecule: ribosomal RNA, 253 nt
Filed under: uncultured bacterium
Lineage: Bacteria
Description: partial 16S ribosomal RNA
Rfam family: Bacterial small subunit ribosomal RNA
Source: RNAcentral
UACGGGGGGGGCAAGCGUUGUUCGGAAUUACUGGGCGUAAAGGGCGCGUAGGCGGUUUGAUAAGUCAGCUGUGAAAACCCCGGGCUUAACUCGUGGCCUGCAGUUGAGACUGGCAGGCUUGAGUGUGGGAGAGGAGAGUGGAAUUCCUGGUGUAGCGGUGAAAUGCGUAGAUAUCAGGAGGAACACCGGUGGCGAAGGCGGCUCUCUGGACCUCAACUGACGCUGAGGCGCGAAAGCUAGGGGAGCAAACAGG